GAUGAACGCUAGCGGCAGGCUUAAUACAUGCAAGUCGAACGGCAAGGGACUUUCGGGUCCCCUAGAGUGGCGUACGGGUGAGUAACACGUACACAACAUGCCCUUUACUGGAAAAUAGCCCUGGGAAACUGGGAGUAAUAGUCCAUAAUAUUAUUUUUAGGCAUCUAAGAAUAAUUAAAGCUACGGCGGUAAAGGAUUGGUGUGCGUCCCAUUAGCUAGUUGGUAGGGUAACGGCCUACCAAGGCGACGAUGGGUAGCUGGCGUGAGAGCGCGACCAGCCACACUGGAACUGAGACACGGUCCAGACUCCUACGGGAGGCAGCAGUAGGGAAUAUUGGUCAAUGGGCGAGAGCCUGAACCAGCCAUCCCGCGUGCAGGAUGACGGCCCUCUGGGUUGUAAAUAUCUUUUAUCUGGGAAGAACAAUCUUAUUCUUAAGAUCUUGACGGUACCAGAGGAAUAAGCACCGGCUAACUCCGUGCCAGCAG
RNAcentral lists this ribosomal RNA (486 nucleotides) under uncultured bacterium. Its description in RNAcentral is "bacterial SSU rRNA". It matches the Rfam family "Bacterial small subunit ribosomal RNA", at positions 28 to 514 of the family's 1533-position model. The record is from RNAcentral.